UGCGCUUUCCCGCAGGGUUUGGAUCGGUUUCCUAAACCGUGUGUCGGAGGUUCGAAUCCUCUCGGGGCCACCA
Molecule: transfer RNA, 73 nt
Filed under: Geodermatophilus ruber
Lineage: Bacteria; Bacillati; Actinomycetota; Actinomycetes; Geodermatophilales; Geodermatophilaceae
Description: tRNA_Pseudo_CCT
Source: RNAcentral